AACGAACGCUGGCGGCAUGCCUAACACAUGCAAGUCGAACGAGACCUUCGGGUCUAGUGGCGCACGGGUGCGUAACGCGUGGGAACCUGCCCUUAGGUUCGGAAUAACUCCCCGAAAGGGGUGCUAAUACCGGAUAAUGUCUUCGGACCAAAGAUUUAUCGCCUUUGGAUGGGCCCGCGUUGGAUUAGCUAGUUGGUAGGGUAAAAGCCUACCAAGGCGACGAUCCAUAGCUGGUCUGAGAGGAUGAUCAGCCACACUGGGACUGAGACACGGCCCAGAAUCCUACGGGAGGGAGCAGUGGGGAAUAUUGGACAAGGGGCGAAAGCCUGAUAAAGCAAUGCCGCGUGAGUGAUGAAGGCCUUAGGGUUGUAAAGCUCUUUUACCCGGGAUGAUAAUGACAGUACCGGGAGAAUAAGCUCCGGCUAACUCCGUG
Molecule: ribosomal RNA, 433 nt
Filed under: uncultured bacterium
Lineage: Bacteria
Description: partial 16S ribosomal RNA
Rfam family: Bacterial small subunit ribosomal RNA
Source: RNAcentral